AGUAACGCGUGAGGAACCUGCCUCAAAGAGGGGGACAACAGUUGGAAACGACUGCUAAUACCGCAUAAGCCCACGGCUCGGCAUCGAGCAGAGGGAAAAGGAGUGAUCCGCUUUGAGAUGGCCUCGCGUCCGAUUAGCUAGUUGGUGAGGUAACGGCCCACCAAGGCGACGAUCGGUAGCCGGACUGAGAGGUUGAACGGCCACAUUGGGGCUGAGACACGGCCCAG
RNAcentral lists this ribosomal RNA (227 nucleotides) under uncultured bacterium. Its description in RNAcentral is "partial 16S ribosomal RNA". It matches the Rfam family "Bacterial small subunit ribosomal RNA", at positions 109 to 334 of the family's 1533-position model. The record is from RNAcentral.